This 253-nucleotide ribosomal RNA is filed under the name uncultured bacterium. RNAcentral's name for it is "partial 16S ribosomal RNA". It matches the Rfam family "Bacterial small subunit ribosomal RNA", at positions 524 to 776 of the family's 1533-position model. The record is from RNAcentral.
UACAGAGGUGGCAAGCGUUGUUCGGAAUUACUGGGCGUAAAGCGUGCGCAGGCGGUUGUGUAAGACAGAUGUGAAAUGCCCGGGCUUAACCUGGGAACUGCAUUUGUGACUGCAUGGCUAGAGUUUGGCAGAGGGGGGUAGAAUUCCACGUGUAGCAGUGAAAUGCGUAGAUAUGUGGAGGAACACCGAUGGCGAAGGCAGCCCCCUGGGUCAAGACUGACGCUCAUGCACGAAAGCGGGGGGAGCAAACAGG